GACUACUGGUGUAUCUAAUCCUGUUUGCUCCCCACGCCUUCGAGCCUCAACGUCAGUUACAGUCCAGUAAGCCGCCUUCGCCGCCGGUGUUCCUCCUGAUAUCUACGCAUUUCACCGCUACACCAGGAAUUCCGCUUACCUCUCCUGCACUCCAGCUUCACAGUUUCCAGAUCAGUUCCGGGGUUGGGCCCCGGCAUUUCACUCCAGACUUGCGCUGCCGUCUACGCUCCCUUUACACCCAGUAAAUCCGGAUAACGCUUGCCCCCUACGUAUUACCGCGGCUGCUGGCACGUAGUUAGCCGGGGCUGCUUGGUCAGGGACCGUCAUCUUCUUCCGUGCCGAUAGGGCGGUACGCGCCGAAACGCUCCGUCACCCACGCGGCGUCGCUGCAUCAGGGUUCGCCCCAUUGUGCAAUAUCCCCCACUGCUGCCCCCCGUAGUC
Molecule: ribosomal RNA, 441 nt
Filed under: uncultured bacterium
Lineage: Bacteria
Description: partial 16S ribosomal RNA
Source: RNAcentral